RNAcentral lists this ribosomal RNA (468 nucleotides) under uncultured bacterium. RNAcentral describes it as "partial 16S ribosomal RNA". It matches the Rfam family "Bacterial small subunit ribosomal RNA", at positions 28 to 507 of the family's 1533-position model. The record is from RNAcentral.
GACGAACGCUGGCGGCGUGCUUAACACAUGCAAGUCGAACGGAAAGGCCCUGCUUUUGUGGGGUGCUCGAGUGGCGAACGGGUGAGUAACACGUGGGUAACCUGCCCUUGACUUUGGGAUAAGUCCGGGAAACUGGGGCUAAUACCGGAUAGGAGCUCCUGCUGCAUGGUGGGGGUGGGAAAGUUUCGGCGGUUGGGGAUGGACUCGCGGCUUAUCAGCUUGUUGGUGGGGUAGUGGCUUACCAAGGCUUUGACGGGUAGCCGGCCUGAGAGGGUGACCGGCCACAUUGGGACUGAGAUACGGCCCAGACUCCUACGGGAGGCAGCAGUGGGGAAUAUUGCACAAUGGGCGGAAGCCUGAUGCAGCAACGCCGCGUGCGGGAUGACGGCCUUCGGGUUGUAAACCGCUUUCGCCUGUGACGAAGCGUGAGUGACGGUAAUGGGUAAAGAAGCACCGGCUAACUACGUG